Molecule: long non-coding RNA, 1209 nt
Filed under: Diabrotica virgifera virgifera (western corn rootworm)
Lineage: Eukaryota; Metazoa; Arthropoda; Insecta; Coleoptera; Chrysomelidae
Description: uncharacterized LOC126886380
Source: RNAcentral
GCGCCACGCACGGCGAGCUAAGCUAUAAUAUAUAUUUCAGAUUUCGGAUUUAUUCGCGCUGCAUGUCUCUUUGACUUUUGUUGGUGGAGACAAGAGACAGUUGACAAUUCCUGACUGUAAAUUGUCAGAUUUUUGGUUUGAUUGUUGUUUUUUUACCAAAAACUUUUUGGUUAACUUAUUACUUAUUUAUUUUUAGAGGUGAUAAUACAUAUUUUUAUAUAAAUAUAACUAAAUCUUACAUUUUUUUAGUGGUAAAAAUAAGAUAAAAAAAUGAGUGAUCAUUUUACAUCCAUCCAGUGAUGAGAAUUUAGAAGGAAUUGACACUUAGGGAGUACCAAAAAAUUUAGAUUAUUUUGAGGAAACUGUGCCUUUGUUUGAUGGCGAUAAGUAUGUCCUGGAACAUUUUGGCAUCAUCAGAGUAAAAGUAGUAGAGAUGUUACAGGUCCAUUCAACACAUCCAAAAGUUGUUUACACAAAAUAGUAAGGAGAAUCACUUUUUUAUCUGCUGAAUACGUUCGUUGGCCAAAUGAGUAAAUGACAAUGAAAAACAGACUAUUUAAAGAUAUUUUCGUUAUUGCAAUUUCCCAGGGGGCUUAUGUGAAAAUCGAUAAACCAAAGGAAGAUCCAGAUUCAUAUUAAAAUAGGAACAAAAAUAUUCAAUACAGGCACAAAUGGUUUAUGAUCACGAGAAAAUGAUCAGGGAUAUAUUUGUUGUAUAUCCAGGUUCUGUACACUAUAGCAGAGUUUUAAGGAGAUCCAAUUUGUUUGCAGCUCUUCCACAAAGAUGUGGUGAAUACUAUAUUUUAGGUGAUAGUGAAUACACAUGUUUAAACAUUUUUUGACUCCAGUUAAAGACAAGGGUCAUUUAACAAGACAGUAAAGAAAUUAUAAUUAUUGUUCAAAAAUACAUAUGGGAUAGAGCAUUGUUUUGGAUUUCUCAAACAAAGAUUUAUAGGCAGCUGUAUCACCAUCCAUUAAGAAAUAUUAGAGAUAUAGUCCCAUUUAUAAGGGCUAGUGCAGUGUUACAUAACUUAGCAAUUGAUGAUAAUUUGCCCAUCAAUUGAAUGUUGAUGCACCUCAUCUUCUCAUUACCAACAAAUAUGAAAUUGAUGCUGUAUAUAGGUGGUGUUACAAAAAGAAAUUCAUGCAAGGUUUAAAUUUGAUUUUGUAAUAAUUGUGUUUAAUAAACUAUAUUCAGACACUUUCAAA